RNAcentral lists this transfer RNA (74 nucleotides) under Trichonephila clavata. It matches the Rfam family "tRNA". From Rfam's summary of the family: Transfer RNA (tRNA) molecules are approximately 80 nucleotides in length. Their secondary structure includes four short double-helical elements and three loops (D, anti-codon, and T loops). The record is from Rfam by way of RNAcentral. Lineage: Eukaryota; Metazoa; Arthropoda; Arachnida; Araneae; Nephilidae.
GCCUCCGUGGCGCAAUCGGCUAGCGCGUUCGGCUGUUAACCGAAAGGUUGGUGGUUCGAGCCCACCCGGAAGCG